UUACCCAAUCCCGACUCGGGGAGGUAGUGACAAUAAAUACUGAUACAGGGCUCUUUUGGGUCUUGUAAUUGGAAUGAGUACAAUUUAAAUCCCUUAACGAGGAACAAUUAGAGGGCAAGUCUGGUGCCAGCAGCCGCGGUAAUUCCAGCUCCAAUAGCGUAUAUUAAAGUUGUUGUGGUUAAAAAGCUCGUAGUUGAACCUUGGGCCUGGCUGGCCGGUCCGCCUCACCGCGUGUACUGGUCCGGCCGGGCCUUUCCCUCUGUGGAACCCCAUGCCCUUCACUGGGUGUGGCGGGGAAACAGGACUUUUACUUUGAAAAAAUUAGAGUGCUCCAGGCAGGCCUAUGCUCGAAUACAUUAGCAUGGAAUAAUAAAAUAGGACGUGUGGUUCUAUUUUGUUGGUUUCUAGGACCGCCGUAAUGAUUAAUAGGGACAGUCGGGGGCAUCAGUAUUCAAUUGUCAGAGGUGAAAUUCUUGGAUUUAUUGAAGACUAACUACUGCGAAAGCAUUUGCCAAGGAUGUUUUCAUUAAUCAGGAACGAAAGUUAGGGGAUCGAAGACGAUCAGAUACCGUCGUAGUCUUAACCAUAAACUAUGCCGACUAGGGAUCGGACGAUGUUAUUAUUUGACUCGUUCGGCACCUUACGAGAAAUCAAAGUGCUUGG
Molecule: ribosomal RNA, 663 nt
Filed under: uncultured eukaryote
Lineage: Eukaryota
Description: SSU rRNA
Rfam family: Eukaryotic small subunit ribosomal RNA
Source: RNAcentral